AGCGAGAGGUGCCUACACCCAGGACGGCCACAGUGACGGUUUGUUUGAUACCCUGAAGAGAAGACAGGCUCUGGAGAGCACCCGUAUUCUGACAGAAGAUAGGUGGAUGACAUUGGGGUGGUCGAACUGGCCCAUGAUGGAUGCCUCACUCAGGAAGUCCCGACGCUGCUUCUCCGUGUAUCCCGACUUGAGGGUCUUGAUGGCUACAAAGAUCUCUCUCUUGCCUGGCAGCUUCAAGUGGCCACUGCAGACCUCACCAAACUCCCCUGACACAGAUACAGAGAGGCAUGGUGUCACGCUUUUGUCGGCUUGGUGUUCCAACACCCAGGCCUCCCUCCAUUCUCCUCUGCGAUGGAAGUUGUGCUAUUGGAGGCAGCUGUUCUAGGACUAAGGAGCUGGAGUCCCCACAGGCCACCAACCCAGCUCAGCUGUGUGACCCUAGGACCAUUUGAUGACUGGUCUCAGCUUCUCCUUCAGACCUCCCAGCAAUCUAGGGGUUGGAGCCUGCAGUAUAGUGCCUUCUUCUCAUGCAACAAAUAAAGUUUUAUUGGAACACAUCCACGCUCACUGA
Meriones unguiculatus (Mongolian gerbil) is the source of this 571-nucleotide long non-coding RNA. RefSeq lists it as uncharacterized. The record is from RefSeq and is a predicted model, not a curated record. Lineage: Eukaryota; Metazoa; Chordata; Mammalia; Rodentia; Muridae. The transcript has 3 exons.